ACGGGGUGCAGCAGGCGCGAAAACUUUACAAUGCGGGAAACCGUGAUAAGGGAACUCCGAGUGCCCGUAAAAUCGGGCUGUCCACCAGUUUAAAUAACUGGUGAAGAAAGGGCCGGGCAAGACCGGUGCCAGCCGCCGCGGUAAUACCGGCGGCUCGAGUGGUGGCCACUAUUACUGGGCUUAAAGCGUUCGUAGCUGGUCUGUUAAGUCUCUGGGGAAAUCUACUGGCUUAACCAAUAGGCGUCUCAGGGAUACUGGCAGACUAGGGACCGGGAGAGGUGAGAGGUACUCCAGGGGUAGGAGUGAAAUCCUGUAAUCCUUGGGGGACCACCUGUGGCGAGGGCGUCUCACCAGAACGGCUCCGACAGUGAGGGACGAAAGCUGGGGGAGCAAACCGGAUUAGAUACCCGGGUAGUCCUAGCCGUAACGAUGCGCGUUAGGUGUAUCGGUGACCACGAGUCACCGAGGUGCCGAAGAGAAAUCGUGAAACGUGCCGCUUGGGAAGUACGGUCGCAAGGCUGAAACUUAAAGGAAUUGGCGGGGGAGCAC
Molecule: ribosomal RNA, 549 nt
Filed under: uncultured archaeon
Lineage: Archaea
Description: bacterial SSU rRNA
Rfam family: Archaeal small subunit ribosomal RNA
Source: RNAcentral